AUCGGGAAGAAGAUGGGGAGAGGAGAGAGAGGAGGGCACGAAGGGGACAUUAAGGUUAAAAGGGUGAUCGAUCGGCGCAGACGGCAACUGCAGGGAGCCAGGGGCUCUGCUGGAGAAACAGACGGGGAAAAGUGGGGGCACGGGGGGCACUAGUGGGGCAUGGGCAGCCAGGUGGGGAUGUCACCGCACUGCCCCUGUGCCAGGCGGCUGGAGAGCCCCUGAUCUGCUGCACGGUGCUGGGGGCAGCAGUGGGGCACAGGUGUGCUAACCACCCCCCUCCCAUCUGUCUGCAAUUGCCAGCAACUAACCUUACCAGAUAAAUGUGCUGCUGGGGGCACCUCCCCUCCCACUAGUUUGGAGGAAGCAAACCAUGUGUAGCCCCUGGGGAGGGGUCUUCAGAAGCAGCAUGUGCAAGAGCUCUGUUCCCAGGGGACCCAACAGGUACUUGGUGUUGAUGGAUGGGUUUUGUGACUGGAAAGUUGGUGCGAUGACUCCUCAAAUGGCCAAUGAAAAUCUUGUAGCGAGUGCUGAAGAAGUUAUUAAUGAUUGUAAGUUCCCACAGCUUUUGCCUGGAGGCCUCCUUUGUUCUCUUCUUUGUCUAAAACUCGUAUGAAGUAAGAGCUCACAAUUUACUUUGCAUUAGCAGUCCCCUUGCUGUAGCAGAGCAGGCGCUGCCUGGCUGGGCUGUAGGUGGAUCCGUGCGAGGUGCUCUGAGCAGGAUGGGUCUUUGCACUGCAUUUCUUCCUGGGCUCUCCUUUGCUUUAGCUCAUGACCUCGGUGCUGCACAUGGUCCAUGGCAUCCUGUUAGAUUUCGGUAACUGAGGGAAGUCUGCAUCAUACUGAUGCUGCCUUCACUGAAAACAUCGAUGCCUGCAAUUCAGCUUUAUCCGCAUUAACUUUAAUUUCUUGGGCCUGGAGGAGACUUCCCUCUUGCAGCCCAGUUCCAACCAGGGAAGAUCUGCCUCCUGCUGCCAUCCUCAGCAAGCUGCUGUUCCUUGCUAUGAAGGCAAACUGGGAAGUGCUCUCCUGGUGAAGGUGGGAGCUCACAACGAGAUUCUGGAGGUGAACUUGGUGGCGUUAGAGGAGCGGUGGCUGCGCCAUGCCCAGGAUGCUGCGUGUGCCACCGGGUGCCCAACGCCUGGUGCUGGGUGACCCAGCCCUUGCACCGCCCUGGGGCAGCGUCCUGCAGAGAGAAGCGUGCAGGAGGUGCUCUUCCUUUUGAAGAGGGAAUGGUGAUGUGCUAGCAAGGAUCUCAGAGCCUCUGUGAGCUGAUAAAUCCAAAAGAUGCCGGAUUGCAUCAGAACCAUCUUCACUGUGAACAACCGAGACAAGACCUGAAUCAGGUAACAGAAGUUGCUGUGUGCCAGUGCUGCGUGUGGCAGAGGUGUCUUCAUGUCAUGCUGGGCACGUCGCCCACUUACACCCUGCCUUCCCUGUCCGCAGUGGCCUCCUUCAUGUUUCAGUACAAAGUGAUGCUCCCAUGUAUGCACUGAUGAGGAUGGCUGCUUCCCACUGCCCCUCAGGCUCAAUCUGCUGCUCUUCCCAAUUUACUCCAGUGGUCUCUAGAAUCCUGCUGCUGCCCACCCCCGUGGCCUUGUUCUGUUACCCAGACUCCUUCCCUCUGAUGACUUCCUUGCUCCGAAGCUGUUUGGUGUUGGCCCACGCAGUCCUGGGGAUUAUUUGACCAUUGCUACCCCAGCAUUUGCUCCUUGCAAAACCCAUCAGUGCCCCGUCCUCCCCAGCAGCGCCUCCGCUCCGCACCACGGGAAGGCUGCAGGUAUCCCCGCAGUGAGCAGCGUGCUGCUGCCAGGGAUCCCCUGACACGUUGGCGUUCAUCAGCCUGUCAGCAUUCAGCUUUUUCUCUUCCAUCCUCCCGGGGGGGGGGGAUGGCCUCUGCUCCUCGCACGGCAGCCAUCCUGCAGCAGAGUUGCAGACAAGCCCGGCAGCAGCGCCAGCUCUGGGAGCUGUGCUCGGGGUGAGCCCACGCGCGGGGCUGUGACUGCGCUGGCAUCGGCCGUGGUGCAGCCGGGAAGCCAACGAGAACCUCUUUAUAUAAACUCCAUUUUCUGGUUGUUGGUUUUUUUUUUUUUCAUAAAAGCCCUUCUAAUUUGUACCAAAGAGGCUCGAGCAUGCCCCUGGGACUGGUAAAAAUAAUAAUAGCUUAAGUGGUAGAAGACUGUGAAUUUGAAACAGAAGGUUAUGAGACUUAAAAGUAUUACAAAAACGUCAACAUUGUAUAUCAAUAAAUGUAAUUUAGAUAUACA
RNAcentral lists this long non-coding RNA (2264 nucleotides) under Numida meleagris (helmeted guineafowl). RNAcentral describes it as "lncRNA (ENSNMEG00000010998.1)". Lineage: Eukaryota; Metazoa; Chordata; Aves; Galliformes; Numididae. The record is from RNAcentral.